Callorhinus ursinus (northern fur seal) is the source of this 171-nucleotide non-coding RNA. Lineage: Eukaryota; Metazoa; Chordata; Mammalia; Carnivora; Otariidae. The record is from RefSeq and is a predicted model, not a curated record.
GGCGUGUGAUGCUGUGUCUUCCCCGAGGGGUGCUGAUGUUUCUCACCCCAAAAGGUAGGAAUACUGGGGUUGAGAAAGGAAUAGUAAUUUACCAAAGGACACACAAUUGAGAGUAUUAACACCUGGUCUGGGGCUCUCCAAGUCCAAACAGAAUCCAGGCAGAAUGUGAAG